RNAcentral lists this unclassified non-coding RNA (345 nucleotides) under soil metagenome. RNAcentral's name for it is "partial contains 5.8S ribosomal RNA, internal transcribed spacer 2, and large subunit ribosomal RNA". The stretch from base 1 to 121 matches the Rfam family "5.8S ribosomal RNA", at positions 35 to 154 of the family's 154-position model. The record is from RNAcentral.
GAUGAAGAACGUAGCGAAAUGCGAUAAGUAAUGCGAAUUGCAGAAUUUCCGUGAGUCAUCGAAUCUUUGAACGCACAUUGCGCCCACUGGUAUUCCGGUGGGCAUGCCUGUUCGAGCGUCAUUAUCCUCCCUCAAACCCCGGGUUUGGUGUUGGACCCAAGUUGUGUGAACAACUGGUCUCAAAGACAAUGACGGCGUCCGUGGGACCCUCGGUGCAACGAGCUUUUAGGAGCACGCAUCGAGUUGCAAGGACCUUCCGGGCCGGUCUCCUUUACCAUUUUACAUGGUUGACCUCGGAUCAGGUAGGAAUACCCGCUGAACUUAAGCAUAUCAAUAAGCGGAGGA